Molecule: non-coding RNA, 126 nt
Filed under: unclassified sequences
Description: Bacteroidete tryptophan peptide leader RNA
Rfam family: Bacteroidete tryptophan peptide leader RNA
Source: RNAcentral
UUACACUUCAAAACAAACAAAUGAACACAAUUUUAAAUCAUACUUGGUGGUGGAACUUCAAGAUUUCAAUCUUCGUGAAGUAAACCCUUAGUAUAUUUAAUUUAAAAUAUUUAAAAAAGGCUUGUC